AUUGAACGCUGGCGGCAUGCCUUACACAUGCAAGUCGAACGGCAGCACGGGUGCUUGCACCUGGUGGCGAGUGGCGAACGGGGUGAGUAAUACAUCGGAACGUACCUUAUCGUGGGGGAUAACGCAGCGAAAGCUGUGCUAAUACCGCAUACGCCCUGAGGGGGAAANCGGGGGAUCGAAAGACCUCGCGCGAUUAGAGCGGCCGAUGCCUGAUUAGCUUGUUGGUGGGGUAAAAGCCCACCAAGGCGACGAUCAGUAGCUGGUCUGAGAGGACGAUCAGCCACACUGGGACUGAGACACGGCCCAGACUCCUACGGGAGGCAGCAGUGGGGAAUUUUGGACAAUGGGGGAAACCCUGAUCCAGCAAUGCCGCGUGAGUGAAGAAGGCCUUCGGGUUGUAAAGCUCUUUGUCAGGGAAGAAACACCGGCUCUAACACAGUCCGGGAAUGACGGUACCUGAAGAAUAAAGCACCGGCUAACUACGUGCCAGCAGCC
RNAcentral lists this ribosomal RNA (495 nucleotides) under uncultured bacterium. RNAcentral's name for it is "bacterial SSU rRNA". It matches the Rfam family "Bacterial small subunit ribosomal RNA", at positions 29 to 516 of the family's 1533-position model. The record is from RNAcentral.